RNAcentral lists this non-coding RNA (384 nucleotides) under Linnemannia elongata AG-77. Its description in RNAcentral is "Mortierella elongata AG-77 Eukaryotic large subunit ribosomal RNA". It matches the Rfam family "Eukaryotic large subunit ribosomal RNA", at positions 3004 to 3401 of the family's 3401-position model. Lineage: Eukaryota; Fungi; Mortierellomycota; Mortierellomycetes; Mortierellales; Mortierellaceae. The record is from Rfam by way of RNAcentral.
AUGUUGUUGUCGUAGUAAUUGAACGAGAGGAAUCGUCCAUUCGGAUAAUAGGUAUUUGGGCCUGCAUGAGCAGGCAAUAGCCCGAAGCUAUCAACCGUCGGGUUAUGGCUGAACGUCCAAGUCAGAACCCCGUGCUAGAACGUGACGAUCACCGCCUUCUCUCCGAUUUUUAAUUGAAAGCGAAUGGAUCUUGGGAUCCUGCAUCACAACACAAGGGGUUGAUCUUGCAGAGUGGAAAGUCUUUGCGUGGUUCCUGCUAUGUUAAUUUCAAAUUUUGAAAGAUAUAAAUCCAUUGCAAACGACUUUAAUUGAAUGGGGUAUGGUAAGAAGUAGAGGUGCCUCGCUGCUACGAUUGCUGAGAUUAGGCUAUUGCUCUAUAGGCGU